RNAcentral lists this ribosomal RNA (500 nucleotides) under uncultured microorganism. RNAcentral describes it as "bacterial SSU rRNA". It matches the Rfam family "Archaeal small subunit ribosomal RNA", at positions 234 to 734 of the family's 1478-position model. The record is from RNAcentral.
AGUGGGUGUAACGUACCUACUAGCCUACGACGGGUACGGGUUGUGAGAGCAAGAGCCCGGAGAUGGAUUCUGAGACACGAAUCCAGGCCCUACGGGGUGCAGCAGGCGCGAAAACUUUACAAUGCGGGAAACCGUGAUAAGGGAAUCUCGAGCGCCAGCAUAUAAUGUUGGCUGUCCAGAUGCCUAAAAAGCAUCUGUUAGCAAGGGCCGGGCAAGACCGGUGCCAGCCGCCGCGGUAACACCGGCGGCCCGAGUGGUAACCGUUUUUAUUGGGUCUAAAGGGUCUGUAGCCGGCCAUGUAAGUCCCUUGGGAAAUCUGGCAGCUCAACUGUCAGGCUGCUAGGGGAUACUGCUUGGCUUGGGACCGGGAGAGGUGAGAGGUACCUUGAGGGUAGGGGUGAAAUCUUGUGAUCCUCGGGGGACCACCAGUGGCGAAGGCGUCUCACCAGAACGGGUCCGACGGUAAGGGACGAAAGCUAGGGGCACGAACCGGAUUAGAU